This 118-nucleotide ribosomal RNA is filed under the name Nicotiana sylvestris (wood tobacco). The record is from RNAcentral. Lineage: Eukaryota; Viridiplantae; Streptophyta; Magnoliopsida; Solanales; Solanaceae. RNAcentral also lists the same sequence under 1 other name.
AUGUGUCAUACCAGCACUAACACACCGGAUCCCAUCAAAACUCCGAAGCUAAACAUGCUUGGGCGAGAGUAGUAUUAGGAGGGGUGACCCCCGGGGAACUUGCCCGGUAUUGAACAUU